UACGUAGGGUGCGAGCGUUAAUCGGAAUUACUGGGCGUAAAGGGUGCGCAGGCGGCGUCGCAAGUCAGGCGUGAAAUCCCCGGGCUUAACCUGGGAACUGCACUUGAAACUACGAUGCUGGAGUAUGGCAGAGGGAGGUGGAAUUCCACGUGUAGCGGUGAAAUGCGUAGAUAUCUGGAGGAACACCGGUGGCGAAAGCGGCUCACUGGACCGUGUCUGACGCUGAGGUGCGAAAGCUAGGGUAGCGAACGGG
Molecule: ribosomal RNA, 253 nt
Filed under: uncultured bacterium
Lineage: Bacteria
Description: partial 16S ribosomal RNA
Rfam family: Bacterial small subunit ribosomal RNA
Source: RNAcentral